UCACCUGGGAAAGAAAACAAAAUCAUUAUGUUCCUGUAUAUUGAGAAAACCUGAACAGUCAGGGCAUUUUGUACUUCAACAAAAAACUUUGAUGCUUUAAUUGAUACCUGAUAGCAAGCACCACAUCCAACACCAUCACGAUAGAGGUUAGAAGCAGCUGACACAUCCCCACCAUUUAUUGUUGCUCCGAAUGAACCAAAUCCACAUGCACCUCCUAGAAUUCAUAUAAAAAACUAAUUUGGAUAGUAAGCUGCUCGAGAAUGAACAAAACAGUCAUUACAUGUUGCAGCCUCUGCCAGAUUCUGCAUAAAGAAUAAAAUUGCAAGGAGCAAAAAGGACCGAAGAGAGGAAGCCAUUAUAUGGUUUAAAGCAAAAAAGCAAUGAAAGAAAAGAUGUGUUGGUAAUGCAUGGAAUGGAUGAGGAAUUUAUCCAAAGGUACAUGACUGGACAUUUUGUUGACAGGCUGAAGCAGACACGAAAACAGUAUGCCAAUAUAGACUGGCAUAAAGAGUCUAUUUAACAACAUCAGGCAUGACAUGGAAACCAUUAUAGUGUCUUUCUGGAUCCCACUUGCGUCAGCAUCCUUAUUGAAAUGAAGGGAAUAAACUUGCAUUUUCAGAAUUUUGAAAAGGAUAAUAAUGCAGUGCCUUUUAUGAAUAUGCAGAAUUCUUCUGUAGAACCUACUCAUUCAGGGCUUGAAAAGACUGUGGCCGACCAACUAAUUUAGCUAUAGAUGUCAAAGAUAGAUGCUACUGGUACCAAACAUAUAUAGAUGCUACUUCAGGGAAGCAGAAUGAUGUAGAAAACUUGAAAUUGACAGAAAUCCAAAAAAAAUUUUCAGAACUAGGGAAAAUGGAUCAUUUUUUGAACUUCUAAAAUUCCAAAUUGUUAAGAAGGUAGAGAUCGAAGAUUUCCAAGUGAAGGGAAUAACUUCUGGAAAGGUUUGGACUCAAGGUUCUCAGCAGAGAUGUUGUGAAUAUGCUUAAAUGGCACGUAUAGCCAAAAUAGAACGUUGUUAGUAUUAAAGAAAAAGGUGUGCAACUGCAACUUGUUGGAAUAAGCCUACCCUGAUCUUUGAAAAUUGAACAGGUCUUUUUGGGUUCUUUUCUUUUUUUUGAACUUCUCAGUCCAUGAUGCUUCAACUCAUUUUAUUUUACAUCUCAAUCUGAAAAACAGCUACGUUUUAUUCCUUUCUCCACUAUGAUCCAACUUUAACCUUGAAUUUUGUGAAAGAUGAAACUUUACCCCCACCAGAGAUUCUUGUCUUUGAGAUAUAUAGAAAUGAACAAGUCCUACUUUAAACCAUGGUUUGCUCUUUCAUUAUCUUCAGGACCCUUUUCAUUUUGCUAGUCUUAUUCAUGUGUAAUGUGUAGAAAAUCAAUAUUUUCUGCUGUUCAAUUUGAAAGUUAAAGCAAGAUGGAAUUACCUCAGAUGUUUUCAGUUUGUUCAACUUACCAACAGCCCUUUUUUUAAUCUUUUGAACAGUAACUUUGACAGGCCAAGAUAAAGUAUUGAAACUAUGGAUACAAAUCUUCAUCGAUGGGAAACAAAAUACUAUCGAAAUCCAAGGCCAAGUACUCGAUCAACCUUUUGAACUUCUGCAAGUCCUUGUGUUUCCACCAUUCUGCUUGCAUCCUCUUUUUUGACUUCGUAGCCAAAGAUGGCAACAAAAUUAAUUGAUUUUUAGAAUUAUGCUUAGACCAAUCAGGUUAAGUAGGUGACAUCACUCAUCAGCUGAUUAUCUGUUUACAUUUUACUUGUUCUUAGGUUCAAUAUGUGGAACUAGAUACUAAUUUAUUCUAAAAUAGGUAGAUUCAGGUGGUUUUAAGUGUUGGCUAUUGAUAUCAUUUUUGUGAAGGGACUUUGUCAUUUCUUUAACUCUUUAUGCAUAAAUCCCAACAGUAACAAAGUUUUUUAUACAUGUUAAAUGUCUAAAACUUUAUAUCUAUAAACGCACUAACAGAUGUUCAACUUGAAAUAUAUCUCAAGGAACAAGUCGGCUAGCUCUUUUUCUUUACUCUAUUUUGGGAUGUUGACAUUUAGGCGGACUUUCUAUUUAAAAUAUAAAGGGAAAUAAAAAGAUCUGAAACUUCGGAAUUUUUUAGAAUACAGUGGGUUUUAGGGGUCGGCACUGAAAUGAUUACAUUCAUGAACUUCUCUUAUUAAACUCUAUCCCCAUCUUGAGAUGAAGAAAAGAAAUACAAUAAAAUAAAAUAUAUUUAACAGCUACACAAUAAGAUUUAUAUUUUCUAGGGACUUGUUUGGCGAGAAAAAUAGUCAGACUAAGAUCAUCUGAUUAUAUGUUCACUUGCACUCCUGUAUCAUAUGUUUCUCCGGCCUUCCAGUCUUGGGGAAUGUUAUUGACAGGAACAACCCAUUCCUCAUCAUCUCCAUCUUCACUACUGAAUAACAUCCUCAGCGACAAAGGUCCGCUUGGGGGUGAUGUAGUUGUCCAUACGGCUCCAUAACUCCUAUCCAAAAGCUUGCAGACAAAAUUUUGAGCCUGCAAAUUAGUUUUGUCAAUAAACUUUAAUUAGUAUCACAGUUAUCAUAAUCAUGAUUUGAUAAGGCUUUUCCUUUUUUAAUAUUAAUGGGACCUAGAUGCUACUUUUACUUGAUUUAAGUCUUCUUCACUUUAUAUAUUAGAAUUAACUAAUGCUUUUGGCUGAUACACUGUUCACAUGGUAGUUGAGAGAAAAAUGAAGUUGGCGAAAAGAGCAACCACAGUUGAAGAUUAAGAAGAAUUUGGAUAAUGCGCUGCUCGAGAUUGAAUGAAACAGUCACUACAUGUUGCAGCCUCUGCCAAAGUCUGCAUAUAAAGCAGACUAAUAAAAGGAAGCAGAACAGACCGAAGAGAGGGAGCCAUUAUACAAUACAAU
Molecule: non-coding RNA, 2879 nt
Organism: Jatropha curcas
Lineage: Eukaryota; Viridiplantae; Streptophyta; Magnoliopsida; Malpighiales; Euphorbiaceae
Source: RefSeq, a predicted model, not a curated record